RNAcentral lists this ribosomal RNA (465 nucleotides) under uncultured bacterium. Its description in RNAcentral is "partial 16S ribosomal RNA". It matches the Rfam family "Bacterial small subunit ribosomal RNA", at positions 338 to 795 of the family's 1533-position model. The record is from RNAcentral.
CCUACGGGAGGCAGCAGUAGGGAAUCUUCCACAAUGGACGAAAGCCUGACGGAGCAACGCCGCGUGAGUGAAGAAGGGUUUCGGCUUGUAAAGUUCUGUUGGUAGUGAAGAAAGAGAGAGGUAGCAAUUAGCCAUUAUUUGACGCUAACUACUUACAAAGUAACGGCUAACUACGUGCCAGCAGCCGUGGUAAUAUGUAGGUUGCAUGCGUGGUCCGGAUGUAUUGGGGGUAAAGCGAGUGCAGACGGUUCAAUAAUGCUGAUGUGAAAGCCUUCGGAUCAAUAGGAGUAUUGCAACAGAGACUGUUGAACUUGAGUGCAGAAGAGGAGAGUGGAACUCCAUGUGUAGCGGUGGAAUGCGUAGAUAUAUGGAAGAACACCAGUGGCGAAGGCGGCUCGCUGGGCUGCAACUGACGCUGAGGCUCGAAAGCAUGGGGAGCAAACAGGAUUAGAUACCCUAGUAGUC